CUGCAGCAGCUUUUUUCAGUCAAUUAUGUUAAGAAAAACCUCAUUCUUCUUACGGUUUUUAACUUGUAAAUAUUGCGCGCAGCGCCCUAUGGUUAUGCAAACGAGAAGCUGAGUCAUCGCCCUUGAAAUUCACGCCGCAGCGUCGGGGCCGGGCUGACGCCUGCGUGGCCUGAAAAAAAAGCCCAGGCUCUAGUCUACGCAGGAAACCCAAAAAUCUCUGCACUUAGACUGAGAAAAAUAAAGCCAAUAAAGUGAUUUCGUAACAAGCAAAGAAAAAGACUAGAAGAAAGGAAUAAUAAACACGGCAGAAUUACAAGAGAAAGAAUCGAAGAAGCCAAAAAGUUGGGCUGCUUUCAAAAAACAACGCCUCCCUUCAACUCCUACUUGGUUCCCUGAAACUGCUGCAUUUGUCAUGAGCCUGGUGACACAACCUGGAUUUAAAGAGAAAGGACUGAAGAAAAACCUAGUGCCUACUUUGGGAGCAGUGGAAACCUGCAUGCAUUGUUGGUAGGAGUGUCAAGUGGGACAACCAUCCAUUUUACUUUUAUAAAAGGAAAAAAAAGGCAUUGCCUAUAUUGCUAAAUGAUAACAGGACAAGUUACAAGAUAUAUUUUAAUAUGAUUGGAUGUUUGGCUUAAAAAUAGCUUGUUCAUGAGUGUCUGCUGUCCAUUUGGGUGUAUAGGGAAAAAACUUGAAGACUAUACAACAAAGUGUUAACAGCGGUUACGUCUGGUGGUAAGACAAUAGGUGAUGGUUUUUUACUAUAUCUGUCUGUAAGGUUUUCAAUUAGUAUGUAUUACUUAAUAUGAAACACCAAUAAGGCCAUUUCAUUACACACAAAAAGAGUUGAAAGAAGAAAAUGAAAAAAAGCAGGCAUAAAUGACUUUUAACCAAGAAAGGUUCAAUGAAAACCAAAAAGAUUGAUCAAGAAAGAACAGAAAGAGGGGGGUUUAUGGGAACCUCUUAUUUUUUUAUAAUAUAACCUUUUUUGUCAUGUAUGUAUCUUCAAAAAAAUACAAUUUAUAAAAAUGAUGGGGGUAGGGUGGGGAGUGGGUUAUAUGGGAACUUCUUAUGUUUUUUUAAUGUAACAUUCUGUGUGAUCUAUUAAAUUUAAUUUAAAAUAUGUGUUAAUUAAAAAAAAGAAAGAACAGAAAGAGAAGUUUUAAUAAUAUUGGGGAUGAUAGUGUCGCAAGACAGUUGGCUGUCUUUCCAACAUGAGGGAUCUUUAGUGAUAUAUACAUGAUAUUAGCUACAUAUUUUAUAUAUAUAUAUAUAUAUAUAUAUAUAUAUAUAUAAACUUGUCCAUCUUAAAAAUUUCAGCUGCUUUCCUUUUCUCCUUUAGUCCUAGGAGUGAUAGCUCUUUCCAGAAAUUGCCACU
RNAcentral lists this long non-coding RNA (1378 nucleotides) under Dasypus novemcinctus (nine-banded armadillo). RNAcentral describes it as "lncRNA (ENSDNOG00000049839.1)". The record is from RNAcentral. Lineage: Eukaryota; Metazoa; Chordata; Mammalia; Cingulata; Dasypodidae.